GAUGAAGAACGCAGCGAAAUGCGAUACGUAGUGUGAAUUGCAGAAUUCAGUGAAUCAUCGAAUCUUUGAACGCACAUUGCACCUCUCGGUAUUCCGGGAGGUAUGCCUGUUCGAGCGUCAUUUGUACCCUCAAGCUCUGCUUGGUGUUGGGUGUUUGUUCCACCUCUGUGUGUGAACUCGCCUCAAAACAAUUGGCAGCCGGCGUACUUGUUUCGGAGCGCAGCACAUUUUGCGAUCCAGAUCAACGUACAGCGGCAUCCAAGAAGCCUUAUUUAACGCUCUUGACCUCGGAUCAGGUAGGGAUACCCGCUGAACUUAAGCAUAUCAUAAGCGGAGGA
RNAcentral lists this unclassified non-coding RNA (338 nucleotides) under soil metagenome. RNAcentral's name for it is "partial contains 5.8S ribosomal RNA, internal transcribed spacer 2, and large subunit ribosomal RNA". The stretch from base 1 to 120 matches the Rfam family "5.8S ribosomal RNA", at positions 35 to 154 of the family's 154-position model. The record is from RNAcentral.